CUAGUAUUCCCUCCGUCCGAAAAUACUUGUUAUCAGAAUGGAUAAAAAAAGAUAUAUCUAGACAUUUAGUUCUAGAUACAUCUCUUUUUAUCGCUUUCAAUGACAAGUAUUUUUGGACGGAGGGAGUAAAAC
This is a non-coding RNA of Triticum aestivum (bread wheat), 132 nucleotides long. The record is from Rfam. Lineage: Eukaryota; Viridiplantae; Streptophyta; Magnoliopsida; Poales; Poaceae.